CGCCUGCCCUGUGACAAAGGUUUAACGGCCGCGGUAUUUUGACCGUGCAAAGGUAGCGCAAUCACUUGUCCUUUAAAUGAAGACCUGUAUGAAUGGCAUCACGAGGGCUUAACUGUCUCCUUUUUCUAGUCAAUGAAAUUGAUCCCCCCGUGCAGAAGCGGGGAUAAAACCAUAAGACGAGAAGACCCUAUGAAGCUUCAGACGCAAGACAGACCUUGUUAAGCACUUCAAAAUAAAGAAAUAAACUAAAAGAACACUGUUCUGAUGUCUUUGGUUGGGGCGACCACGGGGAAACAAAAAACCCCCAUGCGGACUGAGAAAACAAUUCUCACAACCAAGAGUCACAACUCUAAUUAACAGAAUUUCUGACCUUUAGAUCCGGCAAUGCCGAUCAACGGACCGAGUUACUCUAGGGAUAACAGCGCAAUCCCCUUUCAGAGUUCCUAUCGACAAGGGGGUUUACGACCUCGAUGUUGGAUCAGGACAUCCUAAUGGUGCAGCAGCUAUUAAGGGUUCGUUUUGUUUCAACGAUUUAAAGUCCU
RNAcentral lists this ribosomal RNA (542 nucleotides) under Betta sp. SL-2013c. RNAcentral's name for it is "partial 16S ribosomal RNA". It matches the Rfam family "Bacterial large subunit ribosomal RNA", at positions 1856 to 2597 of the family's 2925-position model. Lineage: Eukaryota; Metazoa; Chordata; Actinopteri; Anabantiformes; Osphronemidae. The record is from RNAcentral.